AUCGCUUCUCGGCCUUUUGGCUAAGAUCAAGUGUAGAAAUUUUUCCAACUCCAUAAACUUGAGGUUGCUGAGAAGAUUAAAGGAUUAGCUUUCUUAAGCAUGAAACUUUUUAUUCAGACUCAAUACUUCGCUCUUUUUUGUAAAAUCUUUC
RNAcentral lists this small nuclear RNA (151 nucleotides) under Rhinolophus ferrumequinum (greater horseshoe bat). Its description in RNAcentral is "U2 spliceosomal RNA (ENSRFEG00010004800.1)". It matches the Rfam family "U2 spliceosomal RNA". Rfam says of the family: U2 is a small nuclear RNA (snRNA) component of the spliceosome (involved in pre-mRNA splicing). Complementary binding between U2 snRNA (in an area lying towards the 5' end but 3' to hairpin I) and the branchpoint sequence (BPS) of the intron results the bulging out of an unpaired adenosine, on the BPS, which initiates a nucleophilic attack at the intronic 5' splice site, thus starting the first of two transesterification reactions that mediate splicing. The record is from Rfam by way of RNAcentral. Lineage: Eukaryota; Metazoa; Chordata; Mammalia; Chiroptera; Rhinolophidae.